GCCGAGGUGGUGAAACUGGUAGACACGCCAGACUCAAAAUCUGGUGCGAGCGAUCGCGUGCCGGUUCGAGUCCGGCUCUCGGCACCA
This 87-nucleotide transfer RNA is filed under the name bacterium. RNAcentral describes it as "tRNA-Leu". It matches the Rfam family "tRNA". Rfam says of the family: Transfer RNA (tRNA) molecules are approximately 80 nucleotides in length. Their secondary structure includes four short double-helical elements and three loops (D, anti-codon, and T loops). RNAcentral also lists the same sequence under 1 other name. The record is from RNAcentral.